GAGGGUAUAGCUCAAUAGUAGAGCGUGUGCUUAGCAUGCAUGAGGUCCUGGGAUCAAUACCCAGUACCUCCA
Molecule: transfer RNA, 72 nt
Filed under: Camelus bactrianus (Bactrian camel)
Lineage: Eukaryota; Metazoa; Chordata; Mammalia; Artiodactyla; Camelidae
Also listed under: 1 other name
Rfam family: tRNA
About the family: Transfer RNA (tRNA) molecules are approximately 80 nucleotides in length. Their secondary structure includes four short double-helical elements and three loops (D, anti-codon, and T loops).
Source: Rfam by way of RNAcentral